Molecule: ribosomal RNA, 422 nt
Filed under: uncultured bacterium
Lineage: Bacteria
Also listed under: 1 other name
Description: bacterial SSU rRNA
Rfam family: Archaeal small subunit ribosomal RNA
Source: RNAcentral
ACGGGGCGCAGCAGGCGCGAAAACUUUACAAUGCUGGCAACAGCGAUAAGGGAACCUCGAGUGCCAGGUUACAAAUCUGGCUGUCGAGAUGCCUAAAAAGCAUUUCAUAGCAAGGGCCGGGCAAGACCGGUGCCAGCCGCCGCGGUAACACCGGCGGCUCGAGUGGUAACCGUUAUUAUUGGGUCUAAAGGGUCUGUAGCCGGCCGGAUAAGUCUCUUGAGAAAUCUGGCAGCUUAACUGUCAGGCUUUCAGGAGAUACUGUCUGGCUCGAGGCCGGGAGAGGUGAGAGGUACUUCAGGGGUAGGGGUGAAAUCUUGUAAUCCUUGAAGGACCACCAGUGGCGAAGGCGUCUCACCAGAACGGACCUGACGGCAAGGGACGAAAGCUAGGGGCACGAACCGGAUUAGAUACCCGUGUAGUCC